CGAACGGGUGAGUAACACGUGAGCAACCUGCCCCAAGCUUUGGGAUAACCCUCGGAAACGGGGGCUAAUACCGAAUAGGACCGCUGGCCGCAUGGCUGGUGGUGGAAAGUUUUUCGGCUUGGGAUGGGCUCGCGGCCUAUCAGCUUGUUGGUGGGGUGAUGGCCUACCAAGGCGACGACGGGUAGCCGGCCUGAGAGGGCGACCGGCCACACUGGGACUGAGACACGGCCCAGACUCCUACGGGAGGCAGCAGUGGGGAAUAUUGCACAAUGGGCGGAAGCCUGAUGCAGCGACGCCGCGUGAGGGAUGACGGCCUUCGGGUUGUAAACCUCUUUCAGCAGGGACGAAGCGAGAGUGACGGUACCUGCAGAAGAAGCACCGGCCAACUACGUGCCAGCAGCCGCGGUAAGACGUAGGGUGCGAGCGUUGUCCGGAUUUAUUGGGCGUAAAGAGCUCGUAGGCGGCUUGUCGCGUCGACCGUGAAAACUUGGGGCUCAACCCCAAGCCUGCGGUCGAUACGGGCAGGCUAGAGUUCGGUAGGGGAGACUGGAAUUCCUGGUGUAGCGGUGAAAUGCGCAGAUAUCAGGAGGAACACCGGUGGCGAAGGCGGGUCUCUGGG
Molecule: ribosomal RNA, 619 nt
Filed under: Micromonospora sp. I12A-02010
Lineage: Bacteria; Bacillati; Actinomycetota; Actinomycetes; Micromonosporales; Micromonosporaceae
Description: bacterial SSU rRNA
Rfam family: Bacterial small subunit ribosomal RNA
Source: RNAcentral